This 200-nucleotide ribosomal RNA is filed under the name uncultured bacterium. RNAcentral's name for it is "partial 16S ribosomal RNA". It matches the Rfam family "Bacterial small subunit ribosomal RNA", at positions 8 to 208 of the family's 1533-position model. The record is from RNAcentral.
AGAGUUUGAUCAUGGCUCAGAAUGAACGUUGUCGGCGUGGAUUAGGCAUGCAAGUCGAACGGAUGGGAUCUUCGGAUCCCGUCAGUGGCGGAAGGGUGAGUAAGGCGACGGUAACCAACCCCAUGGUUGGGUAUAGCCGCGGGAAACUGCGGGUAAUCCCCAGCGACGCACGAGGCCGGCAUCGGUCUUGUGCCAAAGUU